Molecule: ribosomal RNA, 501 nt
Filed under: uncultured bacterium
Lineage: Bacteria
Description: bacterial SSU rRNA
Rfam family: Bacterial small subunit ribosomal RNA
Source: RNAcentral
AGGACGAACGCUGGCGGCGUGCUUAACACAUGCAAGUCGAACGAGGAUAUGUUGCGGAAGGGCUUCGGCCUGGAAGGGAUGUAUUCGAGUGGCGGACGGGUGAGUAACGCGUGAGCAACCUGUCCCAGACAGGGGGAUAACACUUGGAAACAGGUGCUAAUACCGCAUAAGACCACAGGGCCACAUGGUCCAGGGGUAAAAGGUGCAAACCGGUUUGGGGUGGGCUCGCGUCCGAUUAGAUAGUUGGUGAGGUAACGGCCCACCAAGUCGACGAUCGGUAGCCGACCUGAGAGGGUGAUCGGCCACAUUGGAACUGAGAGACGGUCCAAACUCCUACGGGAGGCAGCAGUGGGGAAUAUUGGGCAAUGGGCGAAAGCCUGAACCCCCAGCAACGCCGCGUGAGUGAAGAAGGCUUUCGGGUUGUAAAGCUCUGUUAUGAGGGACGAAGGAAGUGACGGUACCUCAUAAGGAAGCCCCGGCUAACUACGUGCCAGCAGCGGC